UUCUCUAUGUCUCUGUUUGUCUCCCUUUUCAGUUAUGCUGUUAUGCUCACAGAUCUAUUUAAAUGAGUUAUCAAAAUUAAUCAAGCAUCAAAGCAUCUGAACCCAAAACUACGACAAAGGUUCACCAGGAUACCGCUACAAGUGGACAGCAAUGACAGACGAUAGAGAAGAAGGGACAACAAUCGUUGAGAUAUGUAAGAGACCCUCUUAUAAACUUAAGAAGUAUAAAUAUCUUUAUCAUUUUUUUGUCUCUUAUUUCUUCCCUUUCUAUGUUUUUCAUUUGGAUUUGGCAGUAAAAAAAUCAAUUUUUUUUAGAGACUACUCCUAGAAGGGAGACAAAAAUGAGAGGAAUAAAUCAUCUUAAGAUGCUCGAACCAGUGAUCAUGCAUGAAUCGACCAUCCUUGCUUCCGCCUUCCGGUAAGGUCACUCACAUCCAGAUUUGUAGAGACAAAUGGUAAAACCUAUGAUCGGGUCAGGCGGACUCAGGCCCAUUCCCAUCCAUCCCACUGAUUUCUUCGUAAAGGGCUUCAUCGUUGUUCUUGGAUUAAAGCUAAAUGUGGGAAGUUCGCUCUCUUGGCCGUAGAGGUGUGGAAGAAGCGAAGCGGCGUGGCAGAGAAACAGACGACCUCGACGACACUGGAUUUCAAAUCUCGAUUUCUCUGGCUAAGAUCCCGUUCGUGGACGACGGAGGAGAUGCGAUGUCGACGGUUUCUAGGAUUUAUGCGGAACGAGGCUUGACGGAGCUCCGGUUUGUGUCGGGCAGGGUUUGGAGGGUACAAAGUGGUUUCAAGCGGACCAGCUGUAAACGUUUGUCAUGGCGUCUUAGGAGCUCCGGUGAUGUCUUCGGAUGACUUCUUCGGGUCGCGCCCCCGACGUCCUAAAGAGUGACCGCUGGAGUGGUGUUGAUUGAAAGGAGAUGUUAACUCAACCGCCCUUGAUGGCGAGAGGUAAAGAUUCAAGUCAAAGUGGUCGGGUUGCUAGAGGACGGCUCUCUGGCGUUUAGAUCUAGGGUUUUCUGCCUAACCGGUUUAAUCUGGUUUAGCUCUAGAUUAUUUUUAUUUUUUUUCACCCAAUUCUGAAAUUGUAAACUAAGGAAUUUUUAC
RNAcentral lists this long non-coding RNA (1104 nucleotides) under Brassica napus (rape). RNAcentral describes it as "long non-coding RNA (BNAP_LNC015112)". Lineage: Eukaryota; Viridiplantae; Streptophyta; Magnoliopsida; Brassicales; Brassicaceae. The record is from RNAcentral.